RNAcentral lists this ribosomal RNA (129 nucleotides) under Kluyveromyces aestuarii. Its description in RNAcentral is "partial 26S ribosomal RNA". The record is from RNAcentral. Lineage: Eukaryota; Fungi; Ascomycota; Saccharomycetes; Saccharomycetales; Saccharomycetaceae.
GGCCAGCAUCAGUUUUAGCGUUGAUAUAAAUCCAUCGGAAUGUGCUCUCCUCGGUAGAGUGUAUAGCCUGUGGGAAUACAGCCAGCUGGGACUUAGGAUUGCGACUUUUGUAAGGAAUGCUGGGAUGAU